Molecule: ribosomal RNA, 301 nt
Filed under: uncultured bacterium
Lineage: Bacteria
Description: partial 16S ribosomal RNA
Rfam family: Bacterial small subunit ribosomal RNA
Source: RNAcentral
CAGUAGCCGCGGGAAUACGAAGGGUGCAAGCGUUAAUCGGAAUUACUGGGCGUAAAGCGUGCGUAGGCGGUUUGUUAAGUCUGUUGUGAAAUCCCCGAGCUUAACUUGGGAACUGCAUUUGAAACUGGCAAGCUAGAGUCUUGUAGAGGGGGGUAGAAUUCCAGGUGUAGCGGUGAAAUGCGUAGAGAUCUGGAGGAAUACCGAUGGCGAAGGCAGCCCCCUGGGCCAACACUGACGCUCAUGCACGAAAGCGUGGGGAGCAAACAGGAUUAGAUACCCGCGUAGUCCCUGUCUCUUAUAC